GGACUACACGGGUAUCUAAUCCUGUUUGCUCCCCACGCUUUCGUAGUUGAGUGUCAGUUCCUGUCCAGUAAGCCGCCUUCGCCUCUGGUGUUCCUCCCGAUCUCUACGCAUUUCACCGCUACACCGGGAAUUCCACUUACCUCUCCAGGACUCCAGUCUCACCGUCUCUGGGGCACUUCUUGAGUUAAGCUCAAGGCUUUCACCCCAGACAAAUGAGACCACCUACCUACCCUUUACGCCCAAUAAUUCCGAGCAACGCUUACACCCUCCGUAUUACCGCGGCUGCUGGCAC
This 292-nucleotide ribosomal RNA is filed under the name uncultured bacterium. Its description in RNAcentral is "partial 16S ribosomal RNA". The record is from RNAcentral.